This is a non-coding RNA of Maylandia zebra (zebra mbuna), 391 nucleotides long. Lineage: Eukaryota; Metazoa; Chordata; Actinopteri; Cichliformes; Cichlidae. The record is from RefSeq and is a predicted model, not a curated record.
UGCUUAUUCUAGUUGGGAUAUAGGAAUUUGCACCAAAAAAAUUAAGUUUUUUUUCUUUUUUGCAGAACCUUGCUGAAGCAAUGCUGGAGAGACGGAAAUCUGAUUUAUUUCUAAUAAUCAUCGGUUCUCUGACAUCUGUGUCAAAAAGGCAACCAGUUGUGUAAAGGUGGUUCUCACCUGAAAAAUUUUAGGGGCAGAAACAAGAAAUCCAAGAGCAGAAGACAAGGUGGCUGCAAAGACACCAGCAACAAUGAGUAUGAAGUACCUUCUGCAGGAUGAAAAGGAACAAAUUUUAAUCAAGAGUUGGCAGCAGAAAGCAGGAAUGAAAAGGACCCAAUAUGCUGAACAAUGAAUGAAUGUUGUCUCACCAAUGCCUGCUUGAGAGGUAAUC